RNAcentral lists this ribosomal RNA (417 nucleotides) under Triticum aestivum (bread wheat). RNAcentral's name for it is "partial small subunit ribosomal RNA". Lineage: Eukaryota; Viridiplantae; Streptophyta; Magnoliopsida; Poales; Poaceae. The record is from RNAcentral.
AUGUGGAGGCCCUCCAUGAGCUCCUCCAGCGACAGGUUGCCGUUCUUGUCCUUGUCCAUGAGGUGGAACAUCUGCACGUACUUGUCCAGCUCCUCCACCGGCAUGUUCCGCGCCACCACGCCCAGCGCCUUCUUCUUGAACUUGUUCAUCGCCGAGAACUGCUGCAGCCGAGACCGCACCGCCUCGCCCAGCGACACGUUCGGCGCCGUGUCCGCGUUCUUCAGCCACGGAACUUGCGAGGCCGUGAGCCGGGUGGCGGGGUCGGGGUCGAGCAUCUGCCUGAUGAGGUCCUUGGGGUUGCCGGACACCCUGGGCCAGGGCUCCCGGUUGAAGUCGAGGCCGCCGCGGAUAAUGGCCUGCGCGAUCUUCUCGUCGUUGUCCCCCCAGAAGGGCGGCACACCGCAGAGGAGGAUGUAG